RNAcentral lists this ribosomal RNA (773 nucleotides) under uncultured bacterium. RNAcentral's name for it is "bacterial SSU rRNA". It matches the Rfam family "Bacterial small subunit ribosomal RNA", at positions 8 to 798 of the family's 1533-position model. The record is from RNAcentral.
AGAGUUUGAUCAUGGCUCAGGACGAACGCUGGCGGCGUGCUUAACACAUGCAAGUCGAACGGAAAGGCCCUUCGGGGUACUCGAGUGGCGAACGGGUGAGUAACACGUGGGUGAUCUGCCCUGCACUCUGGGAUAAGCCUGGGAAACUGGGUCUAAUACCGGAUAGGACCGCAUGCUUCAUGGUGUGUGGUGCAAAGCUUUUGCGGUGUGGGAUGAGCCCGCGGCCUAUCAGCUUGUUGGUGGGGUAAUGGCCUACCAAGGCGACGACGGGUAGCCGGCCUGAGAGGGUGACCGGCCACACUGGGACUGAGAUACGGCCCAGACUCCUACGGGAGGCAGCAGUGGGGAAUAUUGCACAAUGGGCGCAAGCCUGAUGCAGCGACGCCGCGUGAGGGAUGAUGGCCUUCGGGUUGUAAACCUCUUUCAGUAGGGACGAAGCGAAAGUGACGGUACCUACAGAAGAAGGACCGGCCAACUACGUGCCAGCAGCCGCGGUAAUACGUAGGGUCCGAGCGUUGUCCGGAAUUACUGGGCGUAAAGAGCUCGUAGGUGGUUUGUCGCGUUGUUCGUGAAAACUCACAGCUUAACUGUGGGCGUGCGGGCGAUACGGGCAGACUAGAGUACUGCAGGGGAGACUGGAAUUCCUGGUGUAGCGGUGGAAUGCGCAGAUAUCAGGAGGAACACCGGUGGCGAAGGCGGGUCUCUGGGCAGUAACUGACGCUGAGGAGCGAAAGCGUGGGUAGCGAACAGGAUUAGAUACCCCGGUAGUCCAA